This 466-nucleotide ribosomal RNA is filed under the name uncultured bacterium. Its description in RNAcentral is "bacterial SSU rRNA". It matches the Rfam family "Bacterial small subunit ribosomal RNA", at positions 338 to 795 of the family's 1533-position model. The record is from RNAcentral.
CCUACGGGUGGCAGCAGUAGGGAAUCUUCCGCAAUGGACGAAAGUCUGACGGAGCAACGCCGCGUAAGUGAUGAAGGCUUUCGGGUCGUAAAACUCUGUUGUUAGGGAAGAACAAGUGCUAGUUGAAUAAGCUGACACCUUGACGGUACCUAACCAGAAAGCCACGGCUAACUACGUGCCAGCAGCCGCGGUAAUACGUAGGUGGCAAGCGUUAUCCGGAAUUAUUGGGCGUAAAGCGCGCGCGGGUGGUUUCUUAAGUCUGAUGUGAAAGCCCACGGCUCAAUCGUGCAGGGUCAUUGGAAACUGGGAGACUUGAGUGCAGAAGAGGAAAGUGGAAUUCCAUGUGUAGCGGUGAAAUGCGUAGAGAUAUGGAGGAACACCAGUGGCGAAGGCGACUUUCUGGUCUGUAACUGACACUGAGGCGCGAAAGCGUGGGGAGCAAACAGGAUUAGAUACCCCAGUAGUC